GACGAACGCUGGCGGCGUGCCUAAUACAUGCACCUCGAACGCACUGACGUCGACAGAAGGUGCUUGCACUGGAAGUUGAUUGACGUGAGUGGCGGACGGGUGAGUAACUCGUGGGUAACCUGCCCUUAAGCGGGGGAUAACAUUUGGAAACAGAUGCUAAUACCGCAUAAAAGUUGAGAUCACAUGGUCUUAAUUUGAAAGACGGCCUUUGGCUGUCACUUAAGGAUGGACCCGCGGCGUAUUAGCUAAUUGGUGAGAUAAUAGCCCACCAAGGCGAUGAUACGUAGCCGACCUGAGAGGGUAAUCGGCCACAUUGGGACUGAGACACGGCCCAAACUCCUACGGGAGGCAGCAGUAGGGAAUCUUCCACAAUGGACGAAAGUCUGAUGGAGCAACGCCGCGUGAGUGAAGAAGGUUUUCGGAUCGUAAAACUCUGUUGUUGGAGAAGAACAGGGACUAGAGUAACUGUUAGUCCUUUGACGGUAUCCAACCAGAAAGCCACGGCUAACUACGUGCCAGCAGCCGCGGUAAUACGUAGGUGGCAAGCGUUGUCCGGAUUUAUUGGGCGUAAAGCGAGCGCAGGCGGUUUCUUAAGUCUGAUGUGAAAGCCUUCGGCUUAACCGAAGAAGUGCAUCAGAUACUGGGAAACUUGAGUGCAGAAGAGGAAAGUGGAACUCCAUGUGUAGCGGUGAAAUGCGUAGAUAUAUGGAAGAACACCAGUGGCGAAGGCGGCUUUCUGGUCUGUAACUGACGCUGAGGCUCGAAAGUAUGGGGAGCGAACAGGAUUAGAUACCCUGGUAGUCCAUACCGUAAACGAUGAAUGCUAAGUGUUGGAGGGUUUCCGCCCUUCAGUGCUGCAGCUAACGCAUUAAGCAUUCCGCCUGGGGAGUACGACCGCAAGGUUGAAACUCAGAGGAAUUGACGGGGGCCCGCACAAGCGGUGGAGCAUGUGGUUUAAUUCGAAGCUACGCGAAGAACCUUACCAGGUCUUGACAUCUAGCGCCAAUCCUAGAGAUAGGACGUUCCCUUCGGGGACGCUAAGACAGGUGGUGCAUGGUUGUCGUCAGCUCGUGUCGUGAGAUGUUGGGUUAAGUCCCGCAACGAGCGCAACCCUUAUGAUUAGUUGCCAGCAUUAAAGUGGGCACUCUAAUCAGACUGCCGGUGACAA
RNAcentral lists this ribosomal RNA (1168 nucleotides) under uncultured bacterium. RNAcentral's name for it is "bacterial SSU rRNA". It matches the Rfam family "Bacterial small subunit ribosomal RNA", at positions 28 to 1161 of the family's 1533-position model. The record is from RNAcentral.